UUAGCUAGUAAGGUGAGGUAACGGNUCACNUAGGNGACGAUACAUAGCGACCUGAGAGGGUGAUCGGCCACANUGGGANUGAGACACGGCCCAGACUCNUACGGGAGGCAGCAGUAGGGAAUCUUCGGCAAUGGGGGCAACCNUGACCGAGCNACGCCGCGUGAGUGAAGAAGNUUUUCGGAUCGUAAAGCUCUGUUGUAAGUCAAGAACGAGNGUGAGAGUGGAAAGUCCACACUGUGACGGUAGCUUACCNNAAAGGGACGGCUAACUACGUGCCAGCAGCCGCGGUAAUACGUAGGUCCCGAGCGUUGUCCGGAUUUAUUGGGCGUAAAGCGAGCGCAGGCGGUUUGAUAAGUCUGAAGUUAAAGGCUGUGGCUCAACCAUAGUUCGCUUUGGAAACUGUCAAACUUGAGUGCAGAAGGGGAGAGUGGAACUCCAUGUGUAGCGGUGAAAUGCGUAGAUAUAUGGAGGAACACCGGUGGCGAAAGCGGCUCUCUGGUCUGUAACUGACGCUGAGGCUCGAAAGCGUGGGGAGCGAACAGG
RNAcentral lists this ribosomal RNA (543 nucleotides) under uncultured Streptococcus sp. Its description in RNAcentral is "partial 16S ribosomal RNA". It matches the Rfam family "Bacterial small subunit ribosomal RNA", at positions 241 to 776 of the family's 1533-position model. Lineage: Bacteria; Bacillati; Bacillota; Bacilli; Lactobacillales; Streptococcaceae. The record is from RNAcentral.